This 541-nucleotide ribosomal RNA is filed under the name uncultured Gallionellaceae bacterium. RNAcentral describes it as "bacterial SSU rRNA". It matches the Rfam family "Bacterial small subunit ribosomal RNA", at positions 135 to 671 of the family's 1533-position model. The record is from RNAcentral. Lineage: Bacteria; Pseudomonadati; Pseudomonadota; Betaproteobacteria; Nitrosomonadales; Gallionellaceae.
AGUGGGGGAUAACGUACCGAAAGGUACGCUAAUACCGCAUAUGCCCUGAGGGGGAAAGGCGGGGAUCGCAAGACCUGUCGCUUUCGGAGUGGCCGAUAUCGGAUUAGCUAGAUGGUGAGGUAAAGGCUCACCAUGGCGACGAUCCGUAGCUGGUCUGAGAGGACGACCAGCCACACUGGGACUGAGACACGGCCCAGACUCCUACGGGAGGCAGCAGUGGGGAAUUUUGGACAAUGGGGGCAACCCUGAUCCAGCCAUACCGCGUGAGUGAAGAAGGCCUUCGGGUUGUAAAGCUCUUUCGGACAGAAAGAAAUCGUGCGGGCUAAUACCCCGUAUGGAUGACGGUACUGUAAGAAGAAGCACCGGCUAACUACGUGCCAGCAGCCGCGGUAAUACGUAGGGUGCGAGCGUUAAUCGGAAUUACUGGGCGUAAAGCGUGCGCAGGCGGUUUUGUAAGACAGGUGUGAAAUCCCCGGGCUUAACCUGGGAACUGCAUUUGUGACUGCAAGGCUAGAGUGCGGCAGAGGGGGGUAGAAUUCCA